GUGCCAGCCGCCGCGGUAAUACGUAGGGUGCAAGCGUUAAUCGGAAUUACUGGGCGUAAAGCGUGCGCAGGCGGUGAUGUAAGACAGAUGUGAAAUCCCCGGGCUCAACCUGGGAACUGCAUUUGUGACUGCAUCGCUGGAGUGCGGCAGAGGGGGAUGGAAUUCCGCGUGUAGCAGUGAAAUGCGUAGAUAUGCGGAGGACACCGAUGGCGAAGGCAAUCCCCUGGGCCUGCACUGACGCUCAUGCACGAAAGCGUGGGGAGCAA
Molecule: ribosomal RNA, 266 nt
Filed under: uncultured Burkholderiales bacterium
Lineage: Bacteria; Pseudomonadati; Pseudomonadota; Betaproteobacteria; Burkholderiales
Description: partial 16S ribosomal RNA
Rfam family: Bacterial small subunit ribosomal RNA
Source: RNAcentral